This 253-nucleotide ribosomal RNA is filed under the name uncultured bacterium. RNAcentral's name for it is "partial 16S ribosomal RNA". It matches the Rfam family "Bacterial small subunit ribosomal RNA", at positions 524 to 776 of the family's 1533-position model. The record is from RNAcentral.
UACAGAGGGUGCGAGCGUUAAUCGGAUUUACUGGGCGUAAAGCGUGCGUAGGCGGCUGAUGAAGUCGGAUGUGAAAUCCCUGAGCUUAACUUAGGAAUUGCAUUCGAUACUGGUCAGCUAGAGUAUGGGAGAGGAUGGUAGAAUUCCAGGUGUAGCGGUGAAAUGCGUAGAGAUCUGGAGGAAUACCGAUGGCGAAGGCAGCCAUCUGGCCUAAUACUGACGCUGAGGUACGAAAGCAUGGGGAGCAAACAGG